Non-coding RNA from Aedes albopictus (Asian tiger mosquito), 77 nucleotides. NCBI's taxonomy places the organism in Eukaryota, Metazoa, Arthropoda, Insecta, Diptera, Culicidae. The record is from Rfam.
UGUUGUGUGGCGGAGUUGGUUAACGCGCCCUGUCUAGCGAACUUGGAGAGACGUGGGUUUAAACCCCACCAGAGCUA